CAGAACAUAGCUUAAACAAAGCAUUUUGCUUACACCAAAAAAAAAUCUAUAAUAGAUUGUUCUG
RNAcentral lists this transfer RNA (64 nucleotides) under Bolitoglossa dofleini. RNAcentral describes it as "tRNA-Val". The record is from RNAcentral. Lineage: Eukaryota; Metazoa; Chordata; Amphibia; Caudata; Plethodontidae.